UUUUCAUUUUCAGGUGCUUUAUUGAGAUUAGAGAAUUGUUGUACUGAGAAUAAGCAUUCGACGGCCGUCAAGGCAUUUCGAGAAGCUUACUUAUAUAAGGUUUCCCUCUUUGCCUCAACAAUUUUCCUUUCUAAUUGUGUAUGAGUUUGCAUAUGAGUAACAAAAACCCAUAGAGGGUUUGUCAACAAUACAUUUAGUGAACCAGCAAGAGCUGCCACAACGAGCCACGAAAACAUCCUAACAGAACCAUCCCCUCGACCUCUUUUCUUAUCUACAGCUUCUAUAGCCUCAACCCUGUUCUUGAAAACCUGGUAAAAAUAGUAGUAGACACACUGUGACACGAUAGUUCCAAGCAGAUAAUGCUUUAGGCCACUGUAAAGCCCCAACAAGCCUUCGCUUCUAACCACUGUAAGAUUUGAAACUGUAAUAACGACUACCGGGAUCAUCUUCUCUAAAGUCCAAUUAUUAUUUUAGUUGCAUGAAAAUAUCCCUGCGAUAUUACAUAGACACUCAUUGAUCAGUACUCCAACAUGUAUGAAGUGAUGAAUAUUGAAUACCUAAAGAUAUGUAAGCUUUAAACACAUAAAUAUUUGAAAAAAUAUUGGAUCUACUUUCAGUUGGCCCUGAACUAUUUGUGUUUUUACCUUGGCAACAUUUAUUGUUGUCUUAUUUUUGUAUUUUGGACUACCAUCUGUUUUGUUUAAGUUGACAGUUUUGAAUAGUCAUGAAUCAAGAGAGACGUCCACCAAAAAACAAAAAACUUACAAGCUCAAGAUAUGUUUCUUCUUGGUCACUUACAACACUAAAGAAUUCACUGCAAGAAACCAAAAAAACUAUUCAGACGGCAUGUUCUCAAGUGCGAGAACAAGUGCAGCAAGUGCCAUUGUAUUCUACCCCUGAUCUUAUGCUAGAACUACUAGAACAAGCGAAGCAAGUGCCACUGAAUUCUUCCUCUCCCGCGGCACACGAAGUACAGAAAUAAGUGCAACAAUGGAUUCUUGGUUCUACCUCUACUAUAGCAUAAGAAGUACAAAAAUAAGUGCUAAAAAGGCCACUGUGUUCUACCUCUUCUACAGCACAAGCAAAUCCACAAAAUGGGCAGCAAGAGUCACUGCAUUCUACCUGUUCUGCAAAAAAAAAUAACUCUAAAAAAUGGGCUAGAACUGUUACUGAAUUCAACCUCUUCGACAACAAAAGCAAUUUCAAAGAGUGGGCAGCAAAACACAUUGCAUUCUACCUCUUCUGCAGAAUAAGCAGUACCCGAAAAUGGGCAAGAAGUGUUACUGGAUGCUACCACUCAUGAUACAAAUGAACAAUCUACAGGUCCUCCUGCUGAAAAGAAAAAAAGAGGCAGAAUGCAGAUGCAAAGUGUACAUGGGAGGAUUGAACGUAAAUUGAUUGUGUUAAAUGGGCACAACCAACCAAUUGGUCCUACUGUAGGAGUUGUACAAGAGUUGAGUAGUCGGAAUUCGACUUUUUGCCCUCCACUAUUAAGACUUGGAAAAAAGUGAACACAAAAAAGGACAUGUGGAAAUACAUCAAGGUUUGAAGUUCCAAUUUUUAAAUUCUAGUAGAAGAUAUUUUAUAUUUUUUAUACCAACCUUAUUGAACCAACUUUUAGGAGAAAUAUGACAUUCCUAAUGCCGGGCAGAAAUGGGCCUUAAAAAUAAUAUAAGAUGCUUGGAGAACGUAUAAGUGUCGGUUGAAGCGUCAGCAUUAUAAACGCCAUCCCAAUGACAAAUUCGAAUGCAAAAAAGGCCUAAAUAUGUUCCAGAAGUUGAAUUUAAGGCUCUCCUUGAUUAUUGGAACUCUGAGAAAGCUCAAGUAAGAUAAUAAAUGUCACUAAAAUAUACUGCUUUUCAGAAAAAUUAUAUUUUUUAUCAUAUUUAGAGAGCCAUUGUCGCAGGUCCUUCUUGCUGGAUAGUAUAUAUAAUAUAUAUAUAUGAUGACAUAAUAUUGUAGAAAACAUCCUGUACUAAUACGAUGAAUCGAAAAAAGUUGAAGUAUCCUCACACCGUUGGCAAGAGAAGUUUUGCGUUAAUAUGCGAGGUUUGAUGUUCUCUCUAGUUUUUUAUUAAAUAUUAAAUUAUUUCCUUAAUCGAAAAGAUUAUUACGUCAAUUUUGUUAUAACCAGGAAAAGAAAAAGAAGGUGCUGAUGUUGUUUCAAGGAAGGACUUCUUUGUGACAACACGAUCAAGAAAACCGAAUCGAAUCUACAAGGAAUCAUAUGGCGAUAUAAUUUACAAAAUUGCUGAAAUAGAGAAAAUACAAACUCAAGAAAGAGAAGAUGAUGUUGAGCCAGUUGAUGCCUUUGCAUCAGUCAUGGGACCUGAGCAUCUAGGAUUUGUAAGAUUGUAUGGACGCGGAGUUACCAAGACAACAUUGAAAGAGAAAGUGGGAGAUCCUGCACCCUUCGAUGAUCUGCUGCAAUAAAAAAUGAAGGAAAUAGAAGAGAGGAUGAAACAAAGAAUGCUAGAAAAAUUUGAGGAACAAAAGGAUACAAUGUAACAACAAAUUGUAAUUAACAUCAUCGCAAGACUUCAAUGCCUUAACCCUGAUCUACAACUUGAACCUGACUUGGUAGCAUUAUGUGCCCGUUCUUGUACAUCAAAAGAAACUAAAGGUGGAGAAAAUGAAGAAGCUAAUGAUGAGCACAUUGAAGAUCGCUAAGAAGAUAUUAGAUGGUUUUGUAGUUUGUUCUAUGAUAUUUUUGAUAUCGACAACAUGAAACUUGGUCGAUUUUCUACUUUUUUUGGAUAUUAAUCACUAUGGUUGGCUUAUUAUUUUUGAUAUACAAUUUUAAAGAUGAACAUUCAUAAAUGUUCUGUGAUUAUCAUUGAUACAUAUUUUUGUAACAAAUUAAGCUGUUGCAAUAGCAACGUUGAGCUGUUGCUAUAGAAAGUUGUUCCAACAGUUUUUGUAAA
Molecule: long non-coding RNA, 2924 nt
Organism: Capsicum annuum
Lineage: Eukaryota; Viridiplantae; Streptophyta; Magnoliopsida; Solanales; Solanaceae
Exons: 4
Source: RefSeq, a predicted model, not a curated record